Molecule: ribosomal RNA, 468 nt
Filed under: uncultured bacterium
Lineage: Bacteria
Description: partial 16S ribosomal RNA
Rfam family: Bacterial small subunit ribosomal RNA
Source: RNAcentral
GAUGAACGCUGGCGGCGUGCUUAACACAUGCAAGUCGAACGGUGAAGGCGGAGCUUGCUCUGCUGGAUCAGUGGCGAACGGGUGAGUAACACGUGAGCAAUCUGCCCCUGACUCUGGGAUAAGCGCUGGAAACGGCGUCUAAUACUGGAUACGAGCUGCGAAGGCAUCUUCAGCAGCUGGAAAGAAUUUCGGUCAGGGAUGAGCUCGCGGCCUAUCAGCUUGUUGGUGGGGUAAUGGCUCACCAAGGCGUCGACGGGUAGCCGGCCUGAGAGGGUGACCGGCCACACUGGGACUGAGACACGGCCCAGACUGCUACGGGAGGCAGCAGUGGGGAAUAUUGCACAAUGGGCGAAAGCCUGAUGCAGCAACGCCGCGUGAGGGACGACGGCCUUCGGGUUGUAAACCUCUUUUAGCAGGGAAGAAGCGAAAGUGACGGUACCUGCAGAAAAAGCGCCGGCUAACUACGUG